UUUGGUUAAGUUAGAAAGGGCGCACGGUGGAUGCCUUGACACUAGGAGUCGAUGAAGGACGGGACUAACGCCGAUAUGCUUCGGGGAGCUGUAAGUAAGCUUUGAUCCGAAGAUUUCCGAAUGGGGAAACCCACCAUACGUAAUGGUAUGGUAUCCUUAUCUGAAUACAUAGGGUAAGGAAGACAGACCCAGGGAACUGAAACAUCUAAGUACCUGGAGGAAGAGAAAGCAAAUGCGAUUUCCUGAGUAGCGGCGAGCGAAACGGAACAUAGCCCAAACCAAGAGGCUUGCCUCUUGGGGUUGUAGGACAUUCUAUACGGAGUUACAAAGGAACGAGGUAGACGAAGCGACCUGGAAAGGUCCGUCGUAGAGGGUAACAACCCCGUAGUCGAAACUUCGUUCUCUCUUGAAUGUAUCCUGAGUACGGCGGAACACGUGAAAUUCCGUCGGAAUCUGGGAGGACCAUCUCCCAAGGCUAAAUACUCCCUAGUGAUCGAUAGUGAACCAGUACCGUGAGGGAAAGGUGAAAAGCACCCCGGAAGGGGAGUGAAAGAGAUCCUGAAACCGUGUGCCUACAAAUAGUCAGAGCCCGUUAACGGGUGAUGGCGUGCCUUUUGUAGAAUGAACCGGCGAGUUACGAUCCCGUGCGAGGUUAAGCUGAAGAGGCGGAGCCGCAGCGAAAGCGAGUCUGAAUAGGGCGUUUAGUACGUGGUCGUAGACCCGAAACCAGGUGAUCUACCCAUGUCCAGGGUGAAGUUCAGGUAACACUGAAUGGAGGCCCGAACCCACGCACGUUGAAAAGUGCGGGGAUGAGGUGUGGGUAGCGGAGAAAUUCCAAUCGAACCUGGAGAUAGCUGGUUCUCCCCGAAAUAGCUUUAGGGCUAGCCUUAAGUGUAAGAGUCUUGGAGGUAGAGCACUGAUUGGACUAGGGGUCCUCAUCGGAUUACCGAAUUCAGUCAAACUCCGAAUGCCAAUGACUUAUCCUUAGGAGUCAGACUGCGAGUGAUAAGAUCCGUAGUCAAAAGGGAAACAGCCCAGACCGCCAGCUAAGGUCCCAAAGUGUGUAUUAAGUGGAAAAGGAUGUGGAGUUGCUUAGACAACUAGGAUGUUGGCUUAGAAGCAGCCACCAUUUAAAGAGUGCGUAAUAGCUCACUAGUCGAGUGACUCUGCGCCGAAAAUGUACCGGGGCUAAAUACACCACCGAAGCUGCGGAUUGAUACCGAAUGGUAUCAGUGGUAGGGGAGCGUUCUAAGGACAGUGAAGUCAGACCGUAAGGACUGGUGGAGUGCUUAGAAGUGAGAAUGCCGGUAUGAGUAGCGAAAGACGGGUGAGAAUCCCGUCCACCGAAUGCCUAAGGUUUCCUGAGGAAGGCUCGUCCGCUCAGGGUUAGUCAGGACCUAAGCCGAGGCCGACAGGCGUAGGCGAUGGACAACAGGUUGAUAUUCCUGUACCACCUCUUUAUCGUUUGAGCAAUGGAGGGACGCAGAAGGAUAGAAGAAGCGUGCGAUUGGUUGUGCACGUCCAAGCAGUUAGGCUGAUAAGUAGGCAAAUCCGCUUAUCAUAAAGGCUGAGCUGUGAUGGGGAAGCUCCUUAUGGAGCGAAGUCUUUGAUUCCCCGCUGCCAAGAAAAGCUUCUAGCGAGAUAAAAGGUGCCUGUACCGCAAACCGACACAGGUAGGCGAGGAGAGAAUCCUAAGGUGUGCGAGAGAACUCUGGUUAAGGAACUCGGCAAAAUGACCCCGUAACUUCGGGAGAAGGGGUGCUUUCUUAACGGAAAGCCGCAGUGAAUAGGCCCAAGCGACUGUUUAGCAAAAACACAGCUCUCUGCGAAGCCGUAAGGCGAAGUAUAGGGGGUGACACCUGCCCGGUGCUGGAAGGUUAAGGAGAGGGGUUAGCGUAAGCGAAGCUCUGAACUGAAGCCCCAGUAAACGGCGGCCGUAACUAUAACGGUCCUAAGGUAGCGAAAUUCCUUGUCGGGUAAGUUCCGACCCGCACGAAAGGUGUAACGAUUUGGGCACUGUCUCAACCAGAGACUCGGUGAAAUUAUAGUACCUGUGAAGAUGCAGGUUACCCGCGACAGGACGGAAAGACCCCGUGGAGCUUUACUGUAGCCUGAUAUUGAAUUUUGGUACAGUUUGUACAGGAUAGGCGGGAGCCAUUGAAACCGGAGCGCUAGCUUCGGUGGAGGCGCUGGUGGGAUACCGCCCUGACUGUAUUGAAAUUCUAACCUACGGGUCUUAUCGACCCGGGAGACAGUGUCAGGUGGGCAGUUUGACUGGGGCGGUCGCCUCCUAAAGUGUAACGGAGGCGCCCAAAGGUUCCCUCAGAAUGGUUGGAAAUCAUUCGUAGAGUGCAAAGGCAUAAGGGAGCUUGACUGCGAGACCUACAAGUCGAGCAGGGACGAAAGUCGGGCUUAGUGAUCCGGUGGUUCCGCAUGGAAGGGCCAUCGCUCAACGGAUAAAAGCUACCCCGGGGAUAACAGGCUUAUCUCCCCCAAGAGUCCACAUCGACGGGGAGGUUUGGCACCUCGAUGUCGGCUCAUCGCAUCCUGGGGCUGUAGUCGGUCCCAAGGGUUGGGCUGUUCGCCCAUUAAAGCGGUACGCGAGCUGGGUUCAGAACGUCGUGAGACAGUUCGGUCCCUAUCCGUCGUGGGCGUAGGAAAUUUGAGAGGAGCUGUCCUUAGUACGAGAGGACCGGGAUGGACGCACCGCUGGUGUACCAGUUGUUCUGCCAAGGGCAUAGCUGGGUAGCUAUGUGCGGAAGGGAUAAGUGCUGAAAGCAUCUAAGCAUGAAGCCCCCCUCAAGAUGAGAUUUCCCAUAGCGUAAGCUAGUAAGAUCCCUGAAAGAUGAUCAGGUUGAUAGGUUCGAGGUGGAAGCAUGGUGACAUGUGGAGCUGACGAAUACUAAUAGAUCGAGGACUUAACCAUAUAA
RNAcentral lists this ribosomal RNA (2930 nucleotides) under Bacillus cereus. RNAcentral describes it as "bacterial LSU rRNA". It matches the Rfam family "Bacterial large subunit ribosomal RNA". The record is from RNAcentral. RNAcentral also lists the same sequence under 4 other names. Lineage: Bacteria; Bacillati; Bacillota; Bacilli; Caryophanales; Bacillaceae.